UUAGAGUCACUCAGUAUUUCUACGAGUUAGUGUAGUGGGCGCAUUCUAUCUUUCUUCUCUUUCCUCUGGAGAUUGAGAGUCUAUAGUUUGGAACCUUCUCUUAAUAUUGAGAGUGCUGUGUUCUCUAGGCCUAAAUCGCUGCCACUUCAGCACUUUCCCCUUCUCGGAUUUCCUAAGAUCCUUCUUUUGAGCGCUAGCGUUCUAAAUGCAUAUGCUAC
RNAcentral lists this long non-coding RNA (218 nucleotides) under Musa acuminata (dwarf banana). Its description in RNAcentral is "long non-coding RNA (MACU_LNC009126)". The record is from RNAcentral. Lineage: Eukaryota; Viridiplantae; Streptophyta; Magnoliopsida; Zingiberales; Musaceae.